UACGGGGGGGGCAAGCGUUGUUCGGAAUUACUGGGCGUAAAGGGCUCGUAGGCGGCCAACUAAGUCAGACGUGAAAUCCCUCGGCUUAACCGGGGAACUGCGUCUGAUACUGGAGAGCUUGAGUCCGGGAGAGGUGAGUGGAACUCCGAGUGUAGAGGUGAAAUUCGUAGAUAUUCGGAAGAACACCAGUGGCGAAGGCGGCUCACUGGCCCGGUACUGACGCUGAGGUGCGAAAGCGUGGGGAGCAAACAGG
RNAcentral lists this ribosomal RNA (253 nucleotides) under uncultured bacterium. RNAcentral describes it as "partial 16S ribosomal RNA". It matches the Rfam family "Bacterial small subunit ribosomal RNA", at positions 524 to 776 of the family's 1533-position model. The record is from RNAcentral.